GCAAAGAGAAAUCUGACUUAUGAUGCUGCAUUAUCUGCAUGGAGGGGGCUCUGAGAAGAGGAGAAACAACAUGAAAGUACAGGCUUUCACACAUCUGGGAUAAGAGCAGAAGGAGCAAAUAUGUAAGAAGCACUGGGGCCAGAUUUACGGGACCUGUGUCACCUCUGCUGUACCGUCUUAGACAAUGGGCUCCUUCCAGCAGCAUCAGGCCUGCCGCUGCACCCCAGCCCCUGCCACCAGUCCUGCCGCUGCACCCCAGCCCCUGCCACC
Myodes glareolus (Bank vole) is the source of this 270-nucleotide non-coding RNA. The record is from RefSeq and is a predicted model, not a curated record. Lineage: Eukaryota; Metazoa; Chordata; Mammalia; Rodentia; Cricetidae.